UUGAUGGCCUUGUCGAUUUCAUCAAUAGCUUUUCCAAAGUUAGUCGAAGCUGAAUUAUAGUUCUUAGCAAAAGCUAGCUUAAAGGCAUCCAAAUCUUCCUCAAAAUGCGUAAUGUCAAUAUUUUGCUCGCGAACCAAGGCCAACUCCUGCUUGUAUUUUAGGGAAUUUAGCGCCGCAUUACGUAAGAGACCAAUCAAUUGGAUAAAGAAUUGAGGACGAACAACAUACAUUUUUUCAUACUCGUGACUGACGUCAACAAUCCCUGUGUUAAAGUAGUCAUUAUCAGCCUCAAGCAUGGUCACCAAAACGGCAUACUCACAGUUCUUCUCCCGACGGUCCUUGUCCAAUUCCUUGUAAAAAUCUGCAUUCUUGUGCUUCUUCUCUGUUCCGUCCGCUUCGUUUUUCAUCUCAAACAUGAUAGAAAUGAUUUCAACUCCAUUUUCAUCACACUCACGGAAGAUAAAGUCCCCUUUAGACCCACGCGAAGAGACCUUGUUAUCCUUCUCAAAGUAAGCAUUUGGAAAGGCGAAACUACGAACCUUGUUAAACUCACUCUCUGCAUACUGUUCUAGGCUUUCCCCAAUCGCUUUUGUAGAUUGUUGAGCCUUAAAAUUCUUAUAAAACUCGACUUGUUCACUGGCUGCUUUGAGCUGGGCUUCGUAGUUUUGCUUAACAGAAGCCAAAGACAACUCAUUUUCCUUUUCUUGCAGUAGGAGCUGAUUUUUGACCUGAUUGCGUUCUUUUUCUAGGUCAGAAAGGGUCUUUUGCAGUUGAUUUUCAUGCUCCAAACGCAAGGUCGCCAACUGGUUUUCCAAGGCCUGUACUUCCUUGUCCUUAGCCAAUAAGGCCUGAUGGCUUGUCUGUUCAACUUCUUUCUUGGCCAAUUCUUUUUCUGUAUCAAAGUUUUGGAUUUGACUCUGCAAUUGCGCAAUUUCUUGAUCCUUCUGAGCCAGUUUAGUCUGUUGCUCAUUCAUAGCCUUUUGCUCAGCCAAGGCCAGUUCCUGCCUCAUCCUAUCGUGUAGUUCCUUAUCAAACUCUGCCGUUCUCACUUGGGACAAAAGUUCAGCAUACUGGCUUUCAUUUACUGUAAAGACUUCCCCACAGUUGGGACAUUUGAUUUCGUUCAUUACAUUCCUCUUUCUAGACUUCUGUAACCAUUAUAUCAUGCCUGAGGGAAAAUCAAAAACAGUGAGUCAAAACCCACUGUUUAUCUUCUUUUACUUUAAAUUUUUUCCAAGGCCAAGCGUAAGUCUUCAAUCAAAUCUUCUACAUUUUCAAGACCGAUUGACAGACGAAUUUGGUUUGGUGUGACACCUGCUGCUUCUAGGUCUUUUUCUGACAAUUGACCGUGAGUGGUUGUUGCUGGAUGGACAACAAGCGAUUUAGCAUCUGCCGCGUUUGCAAGGUCAGAAAAGAUUUCUAAAUUAUCAAUGACCUUGCGUGCUUCUUCCUCGUCACCUUUGACGUGGAAGGUAAAGAUUGAACCGACACCUUUUGGCAAGUAUUUCUCAACCAAGGCAUGAUAAGGACUAUCUGCAAGUUUUGGAUAAUUUACCUUUUCUACCUUAGGAUGGUUGACAAGAAAAUCAACAAUUGUCUCAGCAUUUUGUACAUGGCGUUCCACACGAAGUGAAAGAGUUUCAAGUCUUUGUAGCAAGAGGAAAGCAUUGAAUGGUGACAAGGCUGCACCUGUAUCACGAAGCAAUUGAACUCGAACAGCUAUAAUAAAGGUUGCUGCACCCACAUCACGAAUAUAGCUCAAAUUGUGGCAGCUUGAACCCUCGUCAACAAAUUGAGGGAAUUUCCCUGAAGCCGUCCAGUCAAAACGACCACUAUCGACAAUUAUUCCUCCAAUAGUUGUACCAUGCCCACCGAUAAACUUAGUCGCAGAGUGAAUGGCAAUGUCAACGCCAUGAGAGAAGACGUUAAUCAAAUAAGGUGUUGCAAAAGUAUUGUCUGACACAAGUGGGAUUUGAUGUUUAUGAGCAAUCUCUGCCAGUUUUUCCAGGUCUGGAAUAUUAAUCAAGGAGUUACCCAAGGUUUCAAUCAAGACAAGCUUGGUAUUGUCUUUGAUAGCUGCUUCUACUUCCUCCAAAUUAUCAAUAUCGACAAAGGUUGUUGUGAUACCAUAACGAGGAAGGGGUUCUUUCAAAAGAUUGAAGGUUCCACCGUAAAUAGUCGAAGCAGCCACUACAUGGUCACCAGCAUGGGCAAGCGCCAAAAUCGUAUAAGUCACUGCAGUCAUACCUGAUGCUGUUGCUAGCGCUUCAACACCACCUUCAAGGGCAGCUGUUGUAGGAUUGGUGAUACGAGUAUAAAUGUUCCCUGGUUUCCUCAAGGCAAACAGAUCAGCACCUUCCUACGUGUCAUCAAAAACAAAAGAUGUUGUUUGAUAAAUCGGCACUGCACGAGACUCAGUAGCUGGAGUCACAACUUGACCAGCAUGUAGUUGUAGAGUUUCAAAUUUAAAAUCACGAGUCAUAAGGUGACCUCCAUAUUAUUUUAUUAAGGAUAUUGUAGCACCUUGAGUUAUAGUUUACAAAUAUCAGUUUUCUAUAUUUUGAUAUAAGAAAUAGCUAUUACCUUAUUUUGAAAAUGAAAAAAGCACGACUCAAUCGUGCUCAUUUUCUUAAUCUACAUAAGUAUCUUCGUUUUUAUUGAGGAAGGCAUAUGGAAGACCCAUCAAGAGGCCUCCUCCGAUAAAGUUUCCGAUGAAAGUCACACCCCAGUGGCGAAGCAUAUUUCCAACACCGAAGUUGGCAAUUGAAUCCGCAGCAACACUGAAUUUCACAAUCGCGAAAGAAACAAAGUUCGCCGCAAUGUGCUCGUUUGUUAAGAAUACAAACAUGUAAAUAGCUGACAACACAAGCCAAAGUUUGGCACCACCAUCUUUGACCAAAAUAAAUGACAGAAUCGCAAUAUUUACGAAAAUAUUUGCCAAAAUCGCCUCAAGCAAGACCAAUUCAUUUGAGCGGCCUAACUUCAUCCCAACAACACCUGAGAUGAAACUAUCGUGUGUCAGAUUCGCAUAGGCUGCCGAAUGAGCAAAGCCCCACCCUGCUAUCAAGGCUCCGAUAAGGUUGAACAAGGUACAGUAUAGUAAAAUCUCAGCUGUUUUUCUCCAAGAGAUUUUUUUUAAGAAACUACCAGCAGUCAAGAACAUCAUGUUUGAAGUGACCAACUCGGCAUUCAAAAAAACAAUGUAGGCCAAGCCCCAAGCAAAAACGAAUGGAAAGAGGAAGCGUCCACUACCUGGUGCAAUUUUAUUAAUCAAGUCAGCCCCAACUGCACCUGCAGCAGUACUGAAGGUUAAAAAUGCACCUGCGAACAUCGAACGAAUCGCAUACUUAAAUUUGCUUUGACUAUAAAGACUUUCUUUCUUAUUGCAAGCAAAUUCAAUCUUUGAGAUAAAUUCUGAAGAAACCAUAAUAAACUCCUAAAUCUUUUUUCUUGAUAAUUAUAUCACAAACUUUAGGUUUUAGGAAGCGUUUUCUAUAUUUCAUAAAAGUUUAUAGUAGAUUGAAACUAGAAUAGUACACCUCUACUUCUAAAACAUUGUUAGAAAUCGAUUUGACUGUCCUGAUCGAUUUGUCCUGUUCUUNAUGAAGGUAUACCGUGAGGAGUGCUGGAACGCAUAGAAGUGAGAAUGCCGGUAUGAGUAGCGAAAGACAGGUGAGAAUCCUGUCCACCGUAAGACUAAGGUUUCCAGGGGAAGGCUCGUCCGCCCUGGGUUAGUCGGGACCUAAGGAGAGACCGAAAGGUGUAUCCGAUGGACAACAGGUUGAUAUUCCUGUACUAGAGUAUGUAGUGAUGGAGGGACGCAGUAGGCUAACUAAAGCAGACGAUUGGAAGAGUCUGUCUAAGCAGUGAGGUGUGAAUUGAGUCAAAUGCUUAAUUCUAUAACAUUGAGCUGUGAUGGGGAGCGAAGUUUAGUAGCGAAGUUAGUGACGUCACACUGCCAAGAAAAGCUUCUAGCGUUUAAACAUACUCUACCCGUACCGCAAACCGACACAGGUAGUCGAGGCGAGUAGCCUCAGGUGAGCGAGAGAACUCUCGUUAAGGAACUCGGCAAAAUGACCCCGUAACUUCGGGAGAAGGGGUGCUGACUUAAAGUCAGCCGCAGUGAAUAGGCCCAAGCAACUGUUUAUCAAAAACACAGCUCUCUGCUAAAUCGUAAGAUGAUGUAUAGGGGGUGACGCCUGCCCGGUGCUGGAAGGUUAAGAGGAGUGCUUAGCGUAAGCGAAGGUAUGAAUUGAAGCCCCAGUAAACGGCGGCCGUAACUAUAACGGUCCUAAGGUAGCGAAAUUCCUUGUCGGGUAAGUUCCGACCCGCACGAAAGGCGUAAUGAUUUGGGCACUGUCUCAACGAGAGACUCGGUGAAAUUUUAGUACCUGUGAAGAUGCAGGUUACCCGCGACAGGACGGAAAGACCCCAUGGAGCUUUACUGCAGUUUGAUAUUGAGUGUCUGUACCACAUGUACAGGAUAGGUAGGAGUCUACGAGAUCGGGACGCCAGUUUCGAAGGAGACGCUGUUGGGAUACUACCCUUGUGUUAUGGCCACUCUAACCCAGAUAGGUGAUCCCUAUCGGAGACAGUGUCUGACGGGCAGUUUGACUGGGGCGGUCGCCUCCUAAAAGGUAACGGAGGCGCCCAAAGGUUCCCUCAGAAUGGUUGGAAAUCAUUCGCAGAGUGUAAAGGUAUAAGGGAGCUUGACUGCGAGAGCUACAACUCGAGCAGGGACGAAAGUCGGGCUUAGUGAUCCGGUGGUUCCGUAUGGAAGGGCCAUCGCUCAACGGAUAAAAGCUACCCUGGGGAUAACAGGCUUAUCUCCCCCAAGAGUUCACAUCGACGGGGAGGUUUGGCACCUCGAUGUCGGCUCGUCGCAUCCUGGGGCUGUAGUCGGUCCCAAGGGUUGGGCUGUUCGCCCAUUAAAGCGGCACGCGAGCUGGGUUCAGAACGUCGUGAGACAGUUCGGUCCCUAUCCGUCGCGGGCGUAGGAAAUUUGAGAGGAUCUGCUCCUAGUACGAGAGGACCAGAGUGGACUUACCGCUGGUGUACCAGUUGUCUUGCCAAAGGCAUCGCUGGGUAGCUAUGUAGGGAAGGGAUAAACGCUGAAAGCAUCUAAGUGUGAAACCCACCUCAAGAUGAGAUUUCCCAUGAUUAUAUAUCAGUAAGAGCCCUGAGAGAUGAUCAGGUAGAUAGGUUAGAAGUGGAAGUGUGGCGACACAUGUAGCGGACUAAUACUAAUAGCUCGAGGACUUAUCCAA
This 5267-nucleotide ribosomal RNA is filed under the name Streptococcus pneumoniae. RNAcentral's name for it is "23S ribosomal RNA". The stretch from base 3406 to 5265 matches the Rfam family "Bacterial large subunit ribosomal RNA". Lineage: Bacteria; Bacillati; Bacillota; Bacilli; Lactobacillales; Streptococcaceae. The record is from RNAcentral.